Molecule: ribosomal RNA, 492 nt
Filed under: uncultured bacterium
Lineage: Bacteria
Description: partial 16S ribosomal RNA
Rfam family: Bacterial small subunit ribosomal RNA
Source: RNAcentral
AGUGAACGCUGGCGGUAGGCCUAACACAUGCAAGUCGAACGGCAGCACAGUAAGAGCUUGCUCUUACGGGUGGCGAGUGGCGGACGGGUGAGGAAUACAUCGGAAUCUACUUUUUCGUGGGGGAUAACGUAGGGAAACUUACGCUAAUACCGCAUACGACCUACGGGUGAAAGCAGGGGAUCUUCGGACCUUGCGCGAUUGAAUGAGCCGAUGUCGGAUUAGCUAGUUGGCGGGGUAAAGGCCCACCAAGGCGACGAUCCGUAGCUGGUCUGAGAGGAUGGUCAGCCACACUGGAACUGAGCCACGGUCCAGACUCCUACGGGAGGCAGCAGUGGGGAAUAUUGGACAAUGGGCGCAAGCCUGAUCCAGCCCUACCGCGUGGGUGAAGAAGGCCUUCGGGUUGUAAAGCCCUUUUGUUGGGAAAGAAAAGCAGCAGGUUAAUACCCCGCUGUUCUGACGGUACCCAAAGAAUAAGCACCGGCUAACUUCGUG